UAACAAGCGCCAUGUCGAGAAGCUGGUUUUCAGCGGGAACCAACACGAUGAAGAUUGCGGAUUGCGCACCCUCUUGACCGGGACCAUAUUGAGGCUACCAGUCAAGAAGGCGCGCAACAGGGGGCGUUAUGGACGGUGAUCACAAAAAAGAGAGAGAAAAAAAAACAAAACAAAAAAAGAAAACAAUAUUAACACAAAACUAAACAGAAUCAAAAACUAAAUUAACUAAAAACUAAUGUAUUAAGAAAUGCCACACCCGAGACACUAACAGGGGGACGCCACCGUCAAUACCGAAUCGCAUGUUCCGCUAUUCGCCACGUUAAAACUAUUUACUUGAACGACGGUGGCGCCCCCCCGCCGUUCCGCCCAUUUUACGACUGGUUUGCGAUUACAAAUUGCGCCUAGCAAAUCAAGUUCCAGUUCAAGUUGUAAUUAAAGUAAAAAUAUUAUAUUUUUACUUUAAUCACAACAAUAGACCGGGAAGGUUCACAGCUGUUCCAAAAGACAAAACAAAGUAAUGAAGAGAGGUAAGCUUUUAUGAAUGGUUGAACCUUUAGAAACAAACAACAAAAUAAUAUAACGGUAAAAACAAUAAAAUAACGAUACAAGAUACAUGUCUGUAGCAGUUUGCAGCCGAGUGCGGAGCGAACGGAAGGAAGAAAAAAAAAAAAAUAGUCAAUUGUCAUUUUAUUUUCCUUCCGCUCUCCGUUCACCCUCAACCAUAAUGUUAAAUUUUACACGUUUUGCCACGUUAGAAAAGGUGGUGGUGAUGUGGCGUAGUGGUAGUAGUCACCCCUACAACAAAGUUGGCCAUGAAUGCAGCAAGACCCUUGCAUAGUUGCGUGUAUCAUCGAGCUCACAUCUCGAGGGGCCGCUGCCACGACAAUACAAGGCGGCAUGCUGUGAGAGCAAUACUGACGAGCACGAUGUACAUGACGCGCAUAAACCCCUGGGCGCGCCCAGACGUCGGCCGAAGCGGGGAACAUGUUAAAGCGGCCCCAGUAUUCAAUCAGCGCUCAGUUCGUAUGCGAUGGGAUCGACCCGCCAACCCGAUGAGAGCGUCGAUGACAUUCAGAUUGCGCAAAGGGGGUGGCAGGUCGUUCCAGCACCGAGUAGCAGCGAAUCUGAAAGAGCCGCGAAACGCCAUGGAGCGGUGCCUUGGAGUGGCAAAAAUGUGUGUGCAAGCCCUUCUGGUGCGUCCUUCCCUAUUCCUAGCCCAGUCUAGCUUUUCAUAUAGGUACUUAGGCCUCUGCGUAGUAAUGAUACCAAACAUCAUUGUUGCGAGAUGUAGUCUCCUACGAGCCGCCAUUUUCAUCAUGUUUGCAGCGUUGAGAAAUGGGGUGACAUGUGCUCGGGGUGGCACCGUAAAGCAGAAACGGGCACAAGCAUUCUGCACCCUCUGCACCAGCUUGGCUGACCUAGCCAUGAGACAGGGCCCGUAUACAGUGUCACAAUAGUUGAGCCUACUGAGGACAAGGGACUCACACAGUGCUAUUCGCAGGCCCUCACUCAGGUAUGACCUUAGCUUGUACAGGACUUUGAGGCGGUAAAAGCAGCUUCUUGCGCAUUCGGUGACAUGGGUUUCAAAUCGCAACUGGUUUUCGAAAACAAGUCCCAGAUUUCUGACUCUGUCCACUCUUUCAAUCUGUAUAUUUAGAGACCGAUCCCCGAGUUUUCCGAUGUUCUGAGGGGUUCCCGUGAGUAUGAGCUGGGAUUUCUUAGGGUUAAGGCUGAGACCAUUUGAAAUGCACCAAGCAGAUAUUCUCUUUAGGUCAUCAUUUACGCUGAUCACAGCUCUAUCACACUUAUCAGGCUCGAAUGGAAGGUACAUCUGUAGAUCGUCCGCAUACAAGUGAUAGUAACAGUGUCUGAUGCCGUGUAUGAUGUCAGCACUGUAUAAGAUGUAUAGUAUUGGCCCUAGAAUGGAGCCCUGGGGGACCCCACAAGUCACCAGUUGUGGUUGUGAUCGCAGGGAAAUGCCAUCCCCCCGCUUCAGUUCCACAUACUGCUUUCUUCCAGACAAAUAACUAUGAAACCAAUUUACAGAGCUGUUGUCGAGACCAUAAUAGUGCAAUUUGGACAACAAGAGCGAGAUGUUGAUAGAAUCAAAGGCACGUGAAAAGUCGAGCAAUAAUACAAUUGUGACCAUGCCCCGAUCCUGAGCAGCCAGCAAGUUGUCGACUACAUCGGCGAGAGCAGUUGCCGUACCAUGCCCUUUACGGAAUCCGGACUGGUAGUGUGGAAGAAUGUCCCGUUCCUCAAGGAUCCAAAGAGUCAUGGCCUUGAUUGGCCGAACACUCUUGAGAGGUCGUCGAGUGAUCUCAGCGAGAAGGCUUGGGACCCAUCACUCCUGCGGACGAAUAUACGUCCACGUCUCGUCCAGGAGUACCUCCACUGCUGCCUGCGACACUCCUCACGCGCCCGAUAAAACAGCUGGCGAUUGAAGCGAGUCAGGCGCUCGCUGAUGUACACCCGGCCGCCACCCUCGCCCGUAGCGCCGCGACGCACGCGCGCGGCCCGCAGCAGGUCGUCGCGC
Molecule: RNA transcript, 2536 nt
Organism: Ostrinia furnacalis (Asian corn borer)
Lineage: Eukaryota; Metazoa; Arthropoda; Insecta; Lepidoptera; Crambidae
Exons: 5
Source: RefSeq, a predicted model, not a curated record